This 410-nucleotide ribosomal RNA is filed under the name uncultured Parabacteroides sp. RNAcentral describes it as "bacterial SSU rRNA". It matches the Rfam family "Bacterial small subunit ribosomal RNA", at positions 355 to 762 of the family's 1533-position model. Lineage: Bacteria; Pseudomonadati; Bacteroidota; Bacteroidia; Bacteroidales; Tannerellaceae. The record is from RNAcentral.
GGAUGAAUAUUGGUCAAUGGCCGAGAGGCUGAACCAGCCAAGUCGCGUGAGGGAUGAAGGUUCUAUGGAUCGUAAACCUCUUUUAUAAGGGAAUAAAGUGCGGGACGUGUCCCGUUUUGUAUGUACCUUAUGAAUAAGGAUCGGCUAACUCCGUGCCAGCAGCCGCGGUAAUACGGAGGAUCCGAGCGUUAUCCGGAUUUAUUGGGUUUAAAGGGUGCGUAGGCGGCCUUUUAAGUCAGCGGUGAAAGUCUGUGGCUCAACCAUAGAAUUGCCGUUGAAACUGGGGGGCUUGAGUAUGUUUGAGGCAGGCGGAAUGCGUGGUGUAGCGGUGAAAUGCAUAGAUAUCACGCAGAACCCCGAUUGCGAAGGCAGCCUGCCAAGCCAUUACUGACGCUGAUGCACGAAAGCGU